Molecule: long non-coding RNA, 1266 nt
Organism: Solanum dulcamara
Lineage: Eukaryota; Viridiplantae; Streptophyta; Magnoliopsida; Solanales; Solanaceae
Exons: 3
Source: RefSeq, a predicted model, not a curated record
AGCUUGAAAGACUAUUUUGGGUUAAAGCCAAUUCCAUCAGCUCCAAAAUAGCCAAAUUAGGCUAGAAGCGUGGCUGGCUCAAUACCCAAGGCUUUUGGUGCGAGUUUAAACCAUUUUUAGUGUUUCAGCUUCAUAAACUAGUCAAUAGUUGACUUUAGUCAACAUUCUUGGGAAAUGUAUCCGGAUGAAAAUUCUGAUAGCGCAGUUAGCUCCAAAAUGUCGAGUUUAGUCUAGAACAACCUUUCAUUCGAUUUUCGAGCUUCCGGGUUCAUUUUGACCCCCUUGGUGGAUUUCUGUAUUCGAAGGUGAGACCAACAUUUGAUUGUAACAACCUCUGAUAGGAAUUUAUACUACACCGUUGAGUCCGUAAUGUUGUUUUCAAUCAGAUUUCAUAUACGGUUUGUAUUUUUCCGACUCCAUAUGAGUCGAAGCAUCAAUACCAAAAACUCAUUGUUUGCUGAAUUUGGUGCACGAUCGUGAUGACGUGGCAGUAGUAUAUAUAGGUGAAAUUUCCAGAUUUAUCCCAAACAUUUCCCCCAACUUUGGCUUGCGAUUUUGAGAGUAAUUUUGAUCCGAUUGGAGUGAUUCCAGAGGCUAUAUUGCAUGGAAUUUCAAGGAGAACAUUGUGAAGAUUUCGAAAACUGCUUUUGACAUGUACUUUGAGAUUUCAGUGAAUUUUGGGCCUAAAUUGAAUAACAUUUUGAGGCGAUCGCCGUGGUGUGGUCUGAUUUUGCUGGUGGUACUACGUUAAGGAUCGAGCACGAGCCAGCAACGUUGAUUCCCCCUGCGUAGUUGUCUGUUCCGGAGACUUGUGGUGAGCAUCGGUAUUCUUGGAUCCUUUCAGUCUCCAUCUACAUUAUGGCCUGUCUUUUUUUUUUUAUCAAAGACUAGCAUGUAUAUUUGUUUUAUUUUGUAUAUGUAUAUAUAUUAUUCUGGUUCAGUUGUGGUGUAUCUUGUCUAUAGUAGCUCUGUACAGGUGACUUUCAAGUUUUGGGAGAGAGGUUUUGUAGUUGUUUGUACCUAAAUAGCAUCAGCUCUUGCUUUUAUUGUAGACAGGUUGCCUAUUGACUUUUUUCGGUUAUAUGUUACCCUCACACUCGCUACUAGCCGUUUUGGCUUUGGGUUGGUUUGCCUAUCGGUGGGUAUGAGAUAGGCGCCAUCAUGACCUGUAAAGUCGGAUUGUGACAAUUAGCUCAUUUGUUAAAUACAUCAAGAUAGAGAGAAAAAAUAUUAGAGAGCAAAGUGAGGUAUACCAUAGACUAUACA